AGCCAUUGCUAUCGGAGUCCGAUUUAGCCAUGCUAGUUGCACGAGUUUAGACUCGUAGCAUAUAGCUCAGUAACACGUGGCCAAACUAUCCUACAGACCGCGAUAACCUCGGGAAACUGAGGCCAAUAGCGGAUAUAACUCUCAUGCUGGAGUGCAGAGAGUUAGAAACGUUCCGGCGCUGUAGGAUGUGGCUGCGGCCGAUUAGGUAGAUGGUGGGGUAACGGCCCACCAUGCCGAUAAUCGGUACAGGUUGUGAGAGCAAGAGCCUGGAGACGGUAUCUGAGACAAGAUACCGGGCCCUACGGGGCGCAGCAGGCGCGAAACCUUUACACUGCACGACAGUGCGAUAGGGGGACUCCGAGUGUGAGGGCAUAUAGCCCUCGCUUUUCUGAACCGUAAGGUGGUUCAGGAACAAGGACUGGGCAAGACCGGUGCCAGCCGCCGCGGUAAUACCGGCAGUCCAAGUGAUGGCCGAUAUUAUUGGGCCUAAAGCGUCCGUAGCUUGCUGUGUAAGUCCAUUGGGAAAUCGACCAGCUCAACUGGUCGGCGUCCGGUGGAAACUACACAGCUUGGGGCCGAGAGACUCAACGGGUACGUCCGGGGUAGGAGUGAAAUCCUGUAAUCCUGGACGGACCACCAAUGGGGAAACCACGUUGAGAGACCGGACCCGACAGUGAGGGACGAAAGCCAGGGUCUCGAACCGGAUUAGAUACCCGGGUAGUCCUGGCUGUAAACAAUGCUCGCUAGGUAUGUCACGCGCCAUGAGCACGUGAUGUGCCGUAGUGAAGACGAUAAGCGAGCCGCCUGGGAAGUACGUCCGCAAGGAUGAAACUUAAAGGAAUUGGCGGGGGAGCACCACAACCGGAGGAGCCUGCGGUUUAAUUGGAUUCAACGCCGGGA
Molecule: ribosomal RNA, 900 nt
Filed under: uncultured haloarchaeon
Lineage: Archaea; Methanobacteriati; Methanobacteriota; Halobacteria; Halobacteriales; Halobacteriaceae
Description: bacterial SSU rRNA
Rfam family: Archaeal small subunit ribosomal RNA
Source: RNAcentral